Molecule: ribosomal RNA, 253 nt
Filed under: uncultured bacterium
Lineage: Bacteria
Description: partial 16S ribosomal RNA
Rfam family: Bacterial small subunit ribosomal RNA
Source: RNAcentral
UACAGAGGUCUCAAGCGUUGUUCGGAUUCACUGGGCGUAAAGGGUGCGUAGGCGGCGCGGUAAGUCGGGUGUGAAAUCUCGGAGCUUAACUCCGAAACUGCAUUCGAUACUGCCGUGCUUGAGGACUGGAGAGGAUACUGGAAUUUACGGUGUAGCGGUGAAAUGCGUAGAUAUCGUAAGGAAGACCAGUGGCGAAGGCGGGUCUCUGGACAGUUCCUGACGCUGAGGCACGAAGGUCAGGGGAGCAAACGGG